RNAcentral lists this ribosomal RNA (462 nucleotides) under uncultured bacterium. RNAcentral describes it as "partial 16S ribosomal RNA". It matches the Rfam family "Bacterial small subunit ribosomal RNA", at positions 28 to 507 of the family's 1533-position model. The record is from RNAcentral.
GAUGAACGCUGACAGAAUGCUUAACACAUGCAAGUCUUUGGUGAAGCUGUGCUUGCACAGCCUAGCCAAGGCGGACGGGUGAGUAACGCGUAAGGAACUUGCCCUGCAGUCAGGGAUAACAGACGGAAACGACUGAUAAGACCUGGUAAAGUCAGGCGGACUCAUGUCCAGCCUGAUGAAAAGAGAUGCUGCAGGAGAGCCUUGCGUCCUAUUAGCUUGUUGGUGGGGUAACGGCCCACCAAGGCAAUGAUAGGUAGCCGGCCUGAGAGGGUGGACGGCCACAAGGGGACUGAGAUACGGCCCUUACUCCUACGGGAGGCAGCAGUGGGGAAUAUUGGACAAUGGGGGCAACCCUGAUCCAGCAAUUCUGUGUGCACGAUGAAGGUCUUCGGAUUGUAAAGUGCUUUCAGCAGGGAAGAAAAAAUGACGGUACCUGCAGAAGAAGCGACGGCUAAAUACGUG